Molecule: non-coding RNA, 5015 nt
Organism: Camellia sinensis
Lineage: Eukaryota; Viridiplantae; Streptophyta; Magnoliopsida; Ericales; Theaceae
Source: RefSeq, a predicted model, not a curated record
GUAAAUUCUUAGUGAAUUACCAGUAAAUUAUCUAUAAAUUACUCAUUAAAUUCUCAGUAAAGUACUCAGUAAACUACACGGUAUCUGGUAUCCUUAUCGGGUUCACUAGGGCUAAGGUUGAACAUCCCGCUGCUCACCUACAUACAUAUAAAUAAAGAGUGAGCUAACACCCAGUAAAUAAUACCAUAGUAAAGGGGUUGGGUGAAUGAGCCCCUUUUAACAGAUAAGUAUAACUAAUCAAAUCAGUAAGUAUUUUACAUCGGAAUGACCUUGGGUCCAACGUGCGACAGAACGACCUUAGGUCAAAUAGAUAGCAGAAUAUACAGUACAAGUUCAAUUAUUGUUCAACAGAAUGGCCUUCGGCCCAACAAUGUACAGAAUGACCUCAGGUCCAAUAGUCGACAAACUCACCGAUCGGAUUCAUUUAUCUCUUAUCAGAACGACUUUGGGUCCAAUCAUUUCCAGUAGCAUAAUGGCCAUUCAACUAUUGCAAUUGUAUAUCAAUCAUUCAAACUUGUGAGAGAUUCAAUCAUAUCAUAUCAGUCAAUCAAUCUUAUCAGAGAUUUAGAAUGACCUUUAGGUUCAUUUUAUCAGAUGUACGAAACGGCCUUAGGUCCAAUUCAGAUAUAUUGAGCAACCUCACUCCAUAAUUCAGUUGUAUAGAAUGACCUUGGGUCCAUUAUUCAAUUAUACAGAACGACCUUGGGUCCAUUUAUUAUAGUCAUGUCAUAUCAUUCGCUUGUACAGAUAGCAUGUCCUUUAGGCUGCUGGUGACUCAUUCACAUAUAUCAAAUCAUUGAUCUAGAAAAACUUACCAUAUAAGGCCAAUCAGAAAAAUAAAGUAUAAGUAAAAUAUCUUUACGAAGAUAUUACUCACAGUGGUCAGAUGGCUGAAUCAUCCUUGUAGUUGACCUUACAUAAUUCGCAACACAUUGGGUCAUAAUACAAUUCAAUCCAUUCUUAACUUGUUUAAUUCUCUUAGGCUUCUUUCAUGUUCUUUAAUUCAUUUAGAAUACUCAAUGUAUGCCUAAGAAUGCUCAUAAAUGAAAAAGAACAGAAAUUGAAGCAUAAAACAACUUUUCAAAGUUUCCUAGAACGGAGCACUUCGCUUGAGCACAACAUUGGUCACUUGAGCGGUUAAACAAUUUGCAAGGGGUUCGCUCGAGCAGUCUGUAAAGACUGCAAAAGUACUGAAUGCUCGAUUUUUACACUCGAGCCAACUUCUUAGUCGCUCGAACCAAGACUAAAAACUAGGGGUGGCCGCUCAAGCGGUCGUUUGGUCACUCGAGCUAACCUCUAAUGUCUGCAAAAGUACUAGAUGCCUUCAAUUUAUGCUCGAGCGAUAACUUCACCGCUUGAGCGAUGCGGUCGAUUUUUGGGUUUUUCAUAAUGCUAUUUGGGUUUCAAAACAUGGUUUUAAAUGAUACAACUUGCAUGUUAUGUCCUAUAUUUGAGCCAUAAUCAACUACUAACAUUAUCAUAUGAGUCAAUUCCACAAGAUUGAAGUUCAAAUCAUCAUGAAUUCAUCAUGCAAGCCCUAAAUCAUGUCAAAUUCUUUUUCAUAUCUCCAAACCCAUGAAAUCAAAUUCCAUAACUUCAUGAAUUGUGUGCAAGCAUGUGAAAUGUAGCCUCUAAUUUCAUCUCAAAUGGUACAAAUGAUGCUCAAAUUCAUGUGACUCAACAAAAUUAUGCAUGCAUGUGUGAUUUGGCACCAAAUUCUUCAUGUUAAGUUUAUAUCUUACAUUAAUUCACCGAUUCUUCUUGAAUUCACAAGUUAUAAGAUCUCAAUUCACAAUCUAAGGUGUAAUUACUCACCUAGAGGCUUUAAUUCUCCCAAUCCUAGCUAGAACAUGAAUUACUUUUCACUAUCCUCCAAUUCACUAUGCAAAUCCUUCAAGUUGAGCUUCUUUUCUCUCUAAUUCUCACUUCUUUCACUCUAGAGUGUAUAUUUUCAAAAUUUUGAGCACAUAAGAUGAGCUUAAGCACAUUUAGGACAUAUUUAUAUGUUGGCAUAAUCAAAAUUGCUAAUUAUGGUUUAGUGCUAAUUGAUGAUGCUUAAUUAAAUUAAUUUAAUCUAAUUAUUUUGAUUCGAAUCAAUUUUUAAUUAAAUCUCACCGUAGGCUCUAAAAAUUAUGCUAAUCAUAAUUGUACCGUCAAUUUCGGUUUUUGUUGCCUCUACGGCCCUCAAUUACAAAUUAUAGUAGAAUACCGAACAGAUUUUUCUACGGUGAACAGAUAUAAAUUCAAAUGCACAAAUAAUCACAUGUUUAGCACCCAAGAUCAAAUUAAGCACAUAAUCACAAGUAUAAUUAAAAAGUAACAGCAUAUCACAGAACAGGGUUAUCACAUAAAGUAGAAAUCAUAAUAGAUAAUUCAUCAAUGAACAUAUAUGCACAAAUUACACAUCAAACACAUAAUUAGCAUUCAAAAUUAAAUAAAUAUAAAUAUACUACGUAAUGGCGUUAUCACAGGACAAGUGCAUGAGUAGAGAUGAAUCGUGUCUCUAUCAGCCUCUACCAUUAUCCUCCAUCCUCCGCCGAUUGCCGACAGUUUUUGGUUUUCAUAGAUGCCUUAUCCAUUGACGACUCAUGGUUUCAUGGUCUCUCUCUUUUCUCUCUCUCUCUCUCUCUCUCUAGGUUUCCUUCACUGUUUAGAAUAAGUAUGGGUUUUUCUACAUUUCUCAUCAAUUAGAGAACCCAUUUGAGAAUCUAAAUUGGUUUUUGUUCUUGCUUUGUCUCUAUUUCAGAUAACUAAUUGAUGAUGUGUUUGAUGCCGUUGAAAUUGGUCUCUUAUUAUUUGCUUUGUAUUAUUGAUUGAAAAUUCUGUUAUUGGUUGUUAGAAGUUGAUUGUAUAAGUCGCCUAUCAACUGUUGAUAUUUUGCUCGACUGUGCUAUCUAUGAACAAAACUCUUCCAAUUUCUAUGUAUUUGGAUAUAGACAUUACUAUAUUCAUUUUUUUAGGCUAUUUGAUGGAUUGAUUUGGGUGUGGGUUUGUACUUUAAAUGGAGUUGUGUUGUAGAAAUGCACAAAUUCAAUAAGGAAAUAUCAAAAUAACUACCAAAUAGAGGAUUGACAACAAACCAUGAAUAACCAUUAAAUAACCACAAUGUAUUGACAACAAAUCAUGAAUUCCAUGUUAUUUCAUAAAAAAAAAUAAUAAAAAUGUAGUCCUCUUUUUAAUGCCAUCCAACUAUUUGAUAUAAUGCUUCGUUGACAAAAUUGAUGAUCCACAUAAACUGCCCACCUUAGACCAUCUCUAAUUCUUCAUCAAUUUUUUUUUUGUCUUAUCAAAUUUAAAUUUGAUGAAAAAAUUAAUGAAAGCCUGUUUUCAACCAUUUCAUCAAAUUUGAAGGUGUUGUUUUGUACCGUGUAUUCUUUUUUUUUUUUUUUUAAUUUCUUUUAUUAGUUACCUAAAAGUCAUUCAAACCUGCCCAGUGCACUUGUCAAAAAGUCUUUCUAUAUUGGACCCAUAAAUGAUGAAAAAAUUUAGUGUAUUGUUAGUGACUGGUUUGUUUUAUAGGGCCUAAGAAGUAGUUAAACUAAUAUCACAAUCCGCUAUUAUGAUUUGUUUAUUUUAAUGAUGGUUGAUAUUCUUUAUUCAAGACCUCAUUUCCAUUACAUUGUUUCUAACUUUAAGAUCUUUAUUUAUUCAUUUAUGCACUUUUUAUUUAUUUAUUUAUAAAACAGAAACGAUGUCCAUAUCAGAAGGAAAUUCCUCAUCAAUUGAUUGCGCUCGAACAUCAACAUUCAUUGGCAGCUCUCAAACACCCACACAGGCCAAUGGCUCUAUUCCGUUCUCAUUUGAAAAUGACCUUGAGGAAGACAAAGUGGUAGUUGUUAGAACAGAUAGACUAAGAAGUGCCGUGUGGAAGCAUUUUCUCAAGGUUCAAAUUAAAAAAGUGGACAAGGCAAAUAAGUAGCUAUUGCAAGAAGACUCUUAGGGAAAAAUCUCAAAAUGGAAACUACACACUUGCGAGACCAUUGUAAUAUUUGUCAAGUAUGGAAAGCAAUGGAAAGUAUGAAUGAGAAGGUUCAAUCACCAAGCCUUGCAAAGGGAGAGGGGAAAAGGAAACUUGAGGCGUAUAUUUUUGACCAAGAAUUUGCUAGGAAAGAGUUGGCUAACAUAAUAAUCAUGCAUGAAUAUUCUCUUUCCAUAGUGGAGCAUGUUCGAUUUAAGAGGUAUUCAUAUGCCCUUCAACCUUUAUAUAAGAUGGUAUCUCGUAACAUUAUCAAGAGUAACAUUUUAAAAAUAUAUGAUUUUGAGAAGAUGAAGACAUUGAAGAUGAUUGAGCAAAAUAAAAGUAGAGUUGUCGUCAUGAUCGAUAUGUGGACAUCUAGUAAUCAAAAGAGAGAAUUUAUGGUUAUCACGACACACUUCAUUGAUGACUAUUGGAAAUUGCAAAGUCGCAUUGUAAGGUUUGCUUACGUGCCAUGCCCACAAAUAGCACAAGUGAUGUGUGAUGAAUUGAUGGAGACUUUCUUGGAUUAGAAUUUUGAUACGAAGCUUUUGACUAUUACGGUUGAUAACUAUACAAGUAAUGAUGAGAUGAUUACAAUUAUUUUGGGUAAGUUGCAUUCUCGUUCUCUCUUGUUGGGUGGAAGUUUAUUUCACAUACAUCGAGCAGCUCCUAUUCUUAACUUGAUUGUGAAAGAUGGGUUAAAUGUAAUGAAGGAAGGGAUUGAAAAAAUUGCGGAAAGUAUGGUGUAUUGGACAACAACACCAAAGAGAGAGGAGAGAUUUACAGAAACAACCCAACAACUAUGCAUCUCUUAUUCUAAGAAUUGUGUCUUGACUAUGUUACUAGGUGGAACUCAACCUUUUUGUUGCUUCAAACUACCAUAGAAUACAAGUAUGUUUUCUUCCAUUUGAAUACCCGUGACCCCCAAUAUAAAAUUUCAAUAAAAUAGAGUGAUUGAGUAUUUGCUAGGAAAAUUUGUGAAAAAUUGAAAAUCUUUUAUGACAUCACUGAGUUGUUUAGUGGGACUAAGUAUCCAACUUCAAAUAUAUAUUUUUUC